This 254-nucleotide ribosomal RNA is filed under the name uncultured bacterium. Its description in RNAcentral is "partial 16S ribosomal RNA". It matches the Rfam family "Bacterial small subunit ribosomal RNA", at positions 524 to 776 of the family's 1533-position model. The record is from RNAcentral.
UACGAAGGGAGCUAGCGUUGUUCGGAAUCACUGGGCGUAAAGCGCACGUAGGCGGAUGUGUCAGUCAGGGGUGAAAUCCCGGAGCUCAACUUCGGAACUGCCUUUGAUACAGCACGUCUUGAGUCCGAUAGAGGUGGGUGGAAUUCCUAGUGUAGAGGUGAAAAUUCGUAGAUAUUAGGAAGAACACCGGUGGCGAAGGCGGCCCACUGGAUCGGUACUGACGCUGAGGUGCGAAAGCGUGGGGAGCAAACAGG